This 299-nucleotide ribosomal RNA is filed under the name uncultured bacterium. RNAcentral describes it as "partial 16S ribosomal RNA". It matches the Rfam family "Bacterial small subunit ribosomal RNA", at positions 789 to 1084 of the family's 1533-position model. The record is from RNAcentral.
GGUAGUCCAUGCCGUAAACGUUGGGCACUAGGUGUGGGGGACAUUCCACGUUUUCCGCGCCGUAGCUAACGCAUUAAGUGCCCCGCCUGGGGAGUACGGCCGCAAGGCUAAAACUCAAAGGAAUUGACGGGGGCCCGCACAAGCGGCGGAGCAUGCGGAUUAAUUCGAUGCAACGCGAAGAACCUUACCAAGGCUUGACAUGGACCGGAUCGCCGCAGAAAUGUGGUUUCUCCUUUGGGGGCCGGUUCACAGGUGGUGCAUGGUUGUCGUCAGCUCGUGUCGUGAGAUGUUGGGUUAAG